RNAcentral lists this ribosomal RNA (351 nucleotides) under Pseudomonas aeruginosa. RNAcentral describes it as "bacterial SSU rRNA". It matches the Rfam family "Bacterial small subunit ribosomal RNA", at positions 1 to 354 of the family's 1533-position model. The record is from RNAcentral. Lineage: Bacteria; Pseudomonadati; Pseudomonadota; Gammaproteobacteria; Pseudomonadales; Pseudomonadaceae.
GAACUGAAGAGUUUGAUCAUGGCUCAGAUUGAACGCUGGCGGCAGGCCUAACACAUGCAAGUCGAGCGGAUGAAGGGRGCUUGCUCCUGGAUUCAGCGGCGGACGGGUGAGUAAUGCCUAGGAAUCUGCCUGGUAGUGGGGGAUAACGUCCGGAAACGGGCGCUAAUACCGCAUACGUCCUGAGGGAGAAAGUGGGGGAUCUUCGGACCUCACGCUAUCAGAUGAGCCUAGGUCGGAUUAGCUAGUUGGUGGGGUAAAGGCCUACCAAGGCGACGAUCCGUAACUGGUCUGAGAGGAUGAUCAGUCACACUGGAACUGAGACACGGUCCAGACUCCUACGGGAGGCAGCAG